RNAcentral lists this ribosomal RNA (424 nucleotides) under Lactococcus lactis. RNAcentral describes it as "bacterial SSU rRNA". It matches the Rfam family "Bacterial small subunit ribosomal RNA", at positions 28 to 440 of the family's 1533-position model. Lineage: Bacteria; Bacillati; Bacillota; Bacilli; Lactobacillales; Streptococcaceae. The record is from RNAcentral.
GACGAACGCUGGCGGCGUGCCUAAUACAUGCAAGUUGAGCGCUGAAGGUUGGUACUUGUACCAACUGGAUGAGCAGCGAACGGGUGAGUAACGCGUGGGGAAUCUGCCUUUGAGCGGGGGACAACAUUUGGAAACGAAUGCUAAUACCGCAUAAAAACUUUAAACACAAGUUUUAAGUUUGAAAGAUGCAAUCGCAUCACUCAAAGAUGAUCCCGCGUUGUAUUAGCUAGUUGGUGAGGUAAAGGCUCACCAAGGCGAUGAUACAUAGCCGACCUGAGAGGGUGAUCGGCCACAUUGGGACUGAGACACGGCCCAAACUCCUACGGGAGGCAGCAGUAGGGAAUCUUCGGCAAUGGACGAAAGUCUGACCGAGCAACGCCGCGUGAGUGAAGAAAGGUUUUCGGAUCGUAAAAACUCUGUUGGU